GGCUCCAUGGCCCAGUGGUCAAGGCGCGGCUCUCAUAAGGCCGAGAGGGGAGUUCAAUUCUCCCUGGAGCCA
RNAcentral lists this transfer RNA (72 nucleotides) under Candidatus Pacearchaeota archaeon CG10_big_fil_rev_8_21_14_0_10_31_24. RNAcentral describes it as "tRNA-Met". It matches the Rfam family "tRNA". Rfam says of the family: Transfer RNA (tRNA) molecules are approximately 80 nucleotides in length. Their secondary structure includes four short double-helical elements and three loops (D, anti-codon, and T loops). The record is from RNAcentral. Lineage: Archaea; Nanobdellati.